Molecule: long non-coding RNA, 579 nt
Organism: Panthera uncia (snow leopard)
Lineage: Eukaryota; Metazoa; Chordata; Mammalia; Carnivora; Felidae
Exons: 3
Source: RefSeq, a predicted model, not a curated record
AAGCAGGGGAGCCAAAAGGUUCUAAUUUCCAUUUACAACAGACCUCUGGCUGCCAUGUGAAAAAUGGGUUGGAAAAAAGCAAGAAUGAAACAGAUCAAUUGGGAAAACAUUUCAUUACUCUUUUUUAACAGCUUUAUUGAGGUAUAAUCAAUAUACAAAAAAUGCACAUAUUUAACGGACACAAUUUGAUCACGUUGGACGUAUGCAUACAUCAGCAAAAUCAUCACGGCAAUAUCAAGGAAUAAGCGUGUCUGCAUCGGGAGAGGCCCCACCUGCCAACAGACACCCGUGCUCCAGGCAGAAACUUUAGCGACUCCAAGGAGGGAAUAUCAGCUAAGAUUACCACGUUACCGGGAAAUGUGUUUUUAUAGCCUCCUGAUCUGCAUAUUUUUGCUUUACCUCAAUGCAUACUUUCCCAAUCCUUCCUGAUAGGAGCUGGAUUAAGCAAGGCUCCACUGGUUGCAAGUUCAGGAAGAUCUUCUGAAACAAAAACCGGGGAUUUUAUUUGCUCGUAAAAUAGAAAAGUCCAGGAGGCUGACCUGGCUUCACGCACUGCUGGACCCAGGCGCGCAGCGUCAU